AGAACGAACGCUGGCGGCAGGCCUAACACAUGCAAGUCGAACGCCUGUAGCAAUACAGGAGUGGCAGACGGGUGAGUAACGCGUGGGAACGUGCCCAAAGGUACGGAACAACUCCGGGAAACUGGAGCUAAUACCGUAUGUGCCCGAAAGGGGAAAGAUUUAUCGCCUUUGGAUCGGCCCGCGUCUGAUUAGCUAGUUGGUGAGGUAAUGGCUCACCAAGGCGACGAUCAGUAGCUGGUCUGAGAGGAUGAUCAGCCACACUGGGACUGAGACACGGCCCAGACUCCUACGGGAGCAGCAGUGGGAAUAUGGACAAUGGGCGCAAGCCUGAUCCAGCCAUGCCGCGUGAGUGAGUGAAGGCCGUUAGGGUUGUAAAGGCUCGUUUCGCCGAGGACGAUAAUGAACGGUACCUGGAUAAGGAAGCCCGCUAACUCGUGCCAGCAGCG
This 446-nucleotide ribosomal RNA is filed under the name uncultured soil bacterium. RNAcentral's name for it is "bacterial SSU rRNA". It matches the Rfam family "Bacterial small subunit ribosomal RNA", at positions 26 to 516 of the family's 1533-position model. The record is from RNAcentral.